AACGUAGGAGGCGAGCGUUAUCCGGAUUUACUGGGUGUAAAGCGCGUGCAGGCGGUUUGGAAAGUUGGAUGUGAAAGCUCCUGGCUCAACUAGGAGAGGUCGUUCAAAACUUCCAGACUAGAGGACAGUAGAGGGAGGUGGAAUUCCGGGUGUAGUGGUGAAAUGCGUAGAUAUCCGGAGGAACACCAGUGGCGAAAGCGGCCUUCUGGACUGUACCUGACGCUCAGACGCGAAAGCUAAGGUAGCAAACGGG
RNAcentral lists this ribosomal RNA (253 nucleotides) under uncultured bacterium. Its description in RNAcentral is "partial 16S ribosomal RNA". It matches the Rfam family "Bacterial small subunit ribosomal RNA", at positions 524 to 776 of the family's 1533-position model. The record is from RNAcentral.